Dendrobium catenatum is the source of this 108-nucleotide small nuclear RNA. The record is from RefSeq and is a predicted model, not a curated record. Lineage: Eukaryota; Viridiplantae; Streptophyta; Magnoliopsida; Asparagales; Orchidaceae.
CAGAUUCCAGAAUCCAGCCAAAUAAAAAUUGGAACAAUACAAAGAAGAUUAACAUGGCCCCUGCGUAAAAGGAUGACACACAUAAAUAAAAAUUUUACACUCAUCCAU